AUGCCUCGGAGCAGGAGCCAUCGCAAACUAAGCUCGCCUUGCUCCCCGAAGGCCGUCCACAAGGUCAUCUCCCGCUUCUCCCUCGAGAAGAAGCAGCUCGUGCGGUCAAUCGAUUUCGGGGGCUUGCUGGAGCUGCCACUGCACAGGAAGGUUGGCCACAGGUUCUCCCUGUGGCUCCUGACCAAGGUAGUACGAGAUGCCGCCGGUGCCAGUGCUAGCCAGCCUGCAGCAGUCGGCAAAGUAGCCGGCAUACCGUUCUACCCACAGGACGUCAGCAAAGUGUUCGGCGUGCCUUCCGGAGGACGUCCGGUGCCCAAGAAGGAUCAGGUUCAGGGGCUGGUCUCCGACGAGGCCAAGGCGACCGUGCGCGGCGCGCUCAGCUUGGAGGAAGGAGACGACAGCAGACUCAGAAUCCUGCAUGCUGCAAAGCAUGUGCUGAAGAAGAAAUUCCGUCGGGGAAUGGCGGAGAAGGACCGGGCUGCAUUCAAGAUCGCGUUCGUGGUCUUCGUUGUGGGGAAUCUGCUGGCUCCAAGGGCGACCGACUCUGUAUCCUUGGACUACUUCAUGGCCCUGCGGCGUCCUGACGAGAUUCAGACGUAUGACUGGUCCGAGUACGUGAUUCGUGUCAUUUUGGACUCUGUCUGCCAAGUUCAGGCCGCUUUCGCUCAGGGGCGGCCUGUGGAGAAUCUGUUUGGAUGCAUUAUUGGCCCUGUUUGGAUCCUCUAA
This 726-nucleotide ribosomal RNA is filed under the name Triticum aestivum (bread wheat). RNAcentral's name for it is "partial small subunit ribosomal RNA". Lineage: Eukaryota; Viridiplantae; Streptophyta; Magnoliopsida; Poales; Poaceae. The record is from RNAcentral.